CGGAGGGAGCUAGCGUUGUUCGGAAUUACUGGGCGUAAAGCGUACGUAGGCGGUUAUUCAAGUCAGAGGUGAAAGCCCGGGGCUCAACCCCGGAACUGCCUUUGAAACUAGAUAGCUAGAAUCUUGGAGAGGUCAGUGGAAUUCCGAGUGUAGAGGUGAAAUUAGUAGAUAUUCGGAAGAACACCAGUGGCGAAGGCGACUGACUGGACAAGCAUUGACGCUGAGGUACGAAAGCGUGGGGAGCAAACAGGAUU
Molecule: ribosomal RNA, 254 nt
Filed under: uncultured bacterium
Lineage: Bacteria
Description: partial 16S ribosomal RNA
Rfam family: Bacterial small subunit ribosomal RNA
Source: RNAcentral